Molecule: non-coding RNA, 213 nt
Organism: Vicia faba (fava bean)
Lineage: Eukaryota; Viridiplantae; Streptophyta; Magnoliopsida; Fabales; Fabaceae
Source: the annotation of a GenBank genome assembly
AUGCCUUGGUUUAGGAGAUAUUUUUUAGUUAAUAAGGAACUCAUUCGUGGACUGAUUCCGACCCUUUACCAGAAUAAAACAGAGGAGCGGUAUGGUUUCAUAAGAGGAAUGCUCGCUUGUCCGCCUACCAAUGAUGCCUUUAACUUUCAGAUUCUACAUAUGGAGUGGAGAAUGCCUCUACUACCUGUGCCAGCAAACAAACAAAGACUAUAG